This 460-nucleotide ribosomal RNA is filed under the name uncultured bacterium. Its description in RNAcentral is "partial 16S ribosomal RNA". It matches the Rfam family "Bacterial small subunit ribosomal RNA", at positions 338 to 795 of the family's 1533-position model. The record is from RNAcentral.
CCUACGGGUGACAGCAGUGAGGAAUAUUGGUCAAUGGACGGAAGCCUGAACCAGCCAUGCCGCGUGAAGGAAGACGGCCCUAUGAGUUGUAAACUGCUUUUGUACGAGAAUAAUAGGUCCUACGUGUAGGGAUAUCAAGAUUACCUCAAAAUAACGAAAGGCUAAAUCCGUUGCAGCAGCCGCGGUAAUACGGGAGAUUCGAGCGUUUACCGGAUUUAUUGGGUUUAAAGGGUUCGUAGGCGGUCAGGUAAGUUAGGGGUCAAAUGUCCGGGCUUAACCCCGGGCCUGCCGUUGAAACUGUGCGACUAGAGAGCGGAUGCAGUAGGCGGAAUGAGCAGUGUAGCGGUGAAAUGCUUAGAUAUUACGCAGAACCCCGAUUGCGCAGGCAGCUUGCUAAUCCGCAACUGACGCUGAUGCACGAAAGCGUGGGUAUCGAACAGGAUUAGAUACCCCAGUAGUC